CAUGACUCGUUCCACCCUUUGUGGAUACUUCUACCUGUAGAAAAAAAGGUUGGCAAACUUGGUGGCAUGGUGAGGACAAAGGGCAUUUUGAAAGAACCAGUGACUGAGGUCAGAGUGGGGAGCUGGUGUUAGCUGUGGGAUUCACUGCAGCGUCCUACCACAAAGGCAAAGAAGAUGAAAAUGCAGCGUGCAGUGCUGGGCUUGAUUCCCAAGUCGCAGUCGGGCUCCCGCUAUGGGUAGGAGGCUUUACACUCAGCCUGGGUCAGCACCGGAGCAUCCAGGCACUUCAGCUCGUCUGGGUAGUCAGCUGUGAGGAUCAGGAAGAGAUCAAAGAAAGUAGAAAUGUGGGUGAGGCCAGAGAAGGAGACAAUAAUCUGGGAUGGAACAUUGAAGAGGAACACUGCCUCUGGAGAGGACUCCAAAACGAGGCCAUGACAGAGGCACCUGAAGAAGACCUCUACAUAGGCCUCAGAUAAAGAGACCUAAGAAUGGAGGAUCCUGAGCUGGCAAUAUAAAUAUGCACAAGGGCGUGACCAGCCAGGGGGUCCUUGACUGCAACUCCCUUCAAAGACUGCAAUGCAUUGGCUGUGAACCAAGUCUGGGGUGGGCAGAACAGCCUCUCCACACCCUGUAAGCCUGCCAGAUGCAAGACAUUGUGAUUUUGACCUUGUUGGAUGCUGCACCUAAAGGUGGAUGGAAGAGGAAGAGUCUUGGGGGCUACCAUCCUGGCUGGAGAAGCUGGCACGAGGCUCCCUCUUGUGGAUGCAGCAAGUCUGAGGGCCAAGGGAAGAGAAGAGUGACAUAGAAUCUCCUUUCCUUGAGAUCUUAGAAUCACGCCUGCCUCCUUACCUCCAUCCAGGACUGUUAAAAAUCUCCCAAGGCAGAGACUUUUAGGCCUACAUGUACUUAGCCUCCUCUUCCCACCUCCUGUUCAUCUCUGUUUCCAAUGUUCCACUGCCAUCACUGCCAGGAAGUUCUGCAGAGAAGAAUGAAGAAGAACCGUAUGAUCCUAAACAUGUUCUUUGAAGAUAUUAUCAACCCACCAUUGGCCUUAUUUACUGGAAUGUUUUUAUAACCUUUAUUUGACACCUCUUCCCAUCAUUUAAAAUAAAUCUGGUGCUUCCCUGAAUAAUC
This 1134-nucleotide long non-coding RNA is filed under the name Homo sapiens (human). RNAcentral's name for it is "UBE2R2 antisense RNA 1". The record is from RNAcentral. Lineage: Eukaryota; Metazoa; Chordata; Mammalia; Primates; Hominidae.